CGCGCUUGAAGCAAAACUGUCUGUUUUGUCGUGGCACUGGUUGGAUUUGGACUGACAGAUGACGCUCUUGAGAUUGAACAUUACAAUCACUUGCUGCAAAGGUAUCACUGGACCCGGCUACAUUGGCUGCACCGCCUUGGGAACUUGUAGACGGUUUAAUGGGCUGCUGCAAAUUUGAAGCUGAGUGGAGCAGUAACCUAUUAGCACUCAGACUUGUGCUGCGUUUCCACGGAUUGGCUGUGAGGUCUUGAGAACUUCUCGGCGCUGGUAAUGGCUGCUGCCGUGAACUUGUAGCUGAGUGUGACAAUGCUCUAUUAGCGCUCAGAAUUGUGCUUCACUCAUGGGAUCCUUUUACUGGGAACUGUCGUUUGGUCAAUCCGUUACACAAGCUAUAUAUAAAUCAGUAUUAAAAAUACAAAUAAAGUGGGUGCUAACUCAUUCGUCUAAUUUCAUUAAACUACCAAACUGCACUCUGGAGAUUUUCAAAUAUUUUCAAGUCCAGCUUCUCUCGUAUGCUUUCGAUUAUACGUUUGUCGAGGAAGUUGUGGGAGCGCCCACAUUCCCCUUCACAGUUUCCUUCGAUUAAACGUUUGCAAACAUGCCACAGUGCACAGUAUUCCUCCGUAGGAUGACAGAAACCUGUAUCAAGGUAUUCAGAACAACGUUUCUGCCUUCGUAAAUUAGUUAGAACUCCAGUUGUUUUCCCAUCCCGGUCUUUGAAGAGAGGGCGCUGGGAUUUCCGGUUUUGCAGUUUUGGCCAUUUUUGAGAUGACCAAGGCCAUUUUUCGGUUUUUGUGGCAAAAUAUUUCGGUUUUUUCGGUUUUCUCGUUCAUAGCGGUUUGUGGAUUUUCCGUUUCCAACCAACUCUUCACCUCAAACUUUGUCUGUGUGCUUGGCAAGGCAUAAUAAUCACAAUCAUAACAUAUUUAACCAGGGUAAACCCGUCAGCAAAUGCUGUUGUCCUGGGCAACUAAAUAUCGCAAAUCGGUAGUUGAACAGUCUAACUUUGUCAUCAUUCAGCGCCAUUUUGAAGCGGAAGUACAGCAGUACAGCCUAAACAUAAAUCGAGGUUCUUCUCAAACUUGUUGCCUGUUCAAGUCAGACAGUGGGCCAGUUAGUCAUUACCUUACAGCUGGUUGUACAGAAUGUAACGGCCGGGAAUAACAAACUGUUAUUUAAUCUCUGCGUAUCCACAAUUAUCAGCUAAUUCAGUAUUCCUGCCGUCAGCGGGCGCGUUCCAGAAAUUUCCAGAAAUCAUUUUACGGUUGAUAUCUCCUGGCCGAGUCAAGCGUGUGUGACGUGACGAAAAUCGUUCCGGUAGGAUGUAAUGGCCGUUGGGAGAGUUGACCGUUAGUGGAGCGAGGUUCGACUGUAAACAACGCGUAAACGCUUCUGGGAAAAUUCUGUUCCAUGCCAGCUUUUGUAUUUUCUGGAACCUUUCCCAAAAAUUCCCAUUCUAUUUCUUCCCGUUCCUGAAUUUUUUGUGAUGAACGACACCUUUCUUCCCACUGGAAUUUCUUUCGUAGACGGAAAACCUUCUGAGGUAUCCAGCUCUUUUCUCGCGUUUUUAUCGGGAUGAUCGGAAACCUGUCAUAAAUAAUCGUUACAAAUUCUGUAGCUAUGUGGCAGCCAUAUCUGCAAUUGCCAGGUUCUGGCAAGUACAAUCUCCUCUAUCAAAUCCUGCACUCCACUCAUUCCACUUUGUUUGUGAGAACAACGUAUUGUCUCGUUUGGGGGAAAAAUUAUCGCCAGUUUUUCCACAAAAAUUGGUUUCCGUGCGUCUUAGCUUGUCUUCUUCAUAUGCCGUACGUAUUUUCGAGUGUUAGUUUGGACUAGGAUAAUGAAGUUGCUAGCAGUUUUCAGACUUAUGGUAAAGAACCAUUCAAGACCAAUUUUAAAUUCAUAUUUGUUUCCAAAAGAGCCGUCGCCAAAGGUACUUAUUUAGAAUUUCGCAGAACAUGGCCAAGAAUACAUAGCCAUGACAGGCUUAUAAGAGCAUCUUUUUAUUAACCAAAACUGUUCCAAAUGAUAAAAUUGUAUUUGUGAAUUCUUCUGUUUCAUGUGCAGCUAUGUAAAAGAAAAAACAACUUUAAAUACAAAUCUUAUACCAUGAAUACUAUACAACAUAGAUAUCAUUAAACAUUGAUUACGAUUGUUAGAAGAUCUUUUAAAACAGCGUUAGUACUAACUGGCACGUUUAGAUCAGACUGGUCAUGGCUUAUCCAUACUUUAAGUUGAAUUUUACCUAGGUUGAAAACACCCCUAAAGGCGCGCUUCAAGCUAGCGGUGUCGCGUCUCCUAACGGCUCGGGUGAACCGAGAGAGCCUGGUUAAGCUGACCCGCCCGCGCAAGGAAUCGUCACAAGAGAAAAACAAACAUUUUCGGAGGAAUCUUCGCAAUGGAAAAAACAAAAAUUUUCACAAUGUACCAUACAAAUGGCCCGAGACGAGGUCAGGGCAAGAGUACAAACACAAGAGAACAGAAAGACUUCUUGCUUUGGACAAGUAGUAUGUUGGAAGCCGUACUGCUUUUCAAGAGGCGUUGGAAAAAUUCACAGCUAAAAACAGUCUCAGGUGCGUUCUUGGUAAAUAAACUGCAACAGUAACUCAUUCGAAUUCCCGUUCUUUUAGCGUCGUUUAUCAACGACCUUUAUCAGUGUUGAAUGCUGGCAGCGAUCAAAAUCAAUAAUAGUAUUUUACAGUUCAAAAAGUCAAUCCUUCAGACUAUUAACAUACGUAUUCGCUGCGUUCCUUUUCUUUCGUAAAACUAAAUUUUAAAUUUACUGCAUCGAAUUGACCAAGUAACAUUUGCUACAAUCAAGACGGGGUUAACGUUUCGUAGAAGUUCUCUGCACGUUUCUCUAUAACUUCUUAAAGGAUUUCUCGGGGAAAUUUGUUUAAAUAUCAUUCCUUUGCCAUUAUUUCCUUAAUUCUUACUGCCUUGCGAUAUAUGUUGUUUAUGAAUCGAAACUGCGAGGAGAGAUUAAACAGUCGUCAACGGUUCAAUUAUUUUAUCAAAGCACUUAAAAAAAAA
Molecule: long non-coding RNA, 3033 nt
Organism: Orbicella faveolata
Lineage: Eukaryota; Metazoa; Cnidaria; Anthozoa; Scleractinia; Merulinidae
Source: RefSeq, a predicted model, not a curated record